Molecule: ribosomal RNA, 396 nt
Filed under: uncultured bacterium
Lineage: Bacteria
Description: partial 16S ribosomal RNA
Rfam family: Bacterial small subunit ribosomal RNA
Source: RNAcentral
AUACGUAGGGAGCAAGCGUUGUCCGGAAUUACUGGGUGUAAAGGGUGCGUAGGCGGGACUGCAAGUCAGAUGUGAAAUGCCGGGGCUCAACCCCGGAGCUGCAUUUGAAACUGUGGUUCUUGAGUGAGGUAGAGGUAAGCGGAAUUCCUAGUGUAGCGGUGAAAUGCGUAGAUAUUAGGAGGAACAUCGGUGGCGAAGGCGGCUUACUGGGCCUUUACUGACGCUGAGGCACGAAAGCGUGGGGAGCAAACAGGAUUAGAUACCCUGGUAGUCCACGCUGUAAACGAUGAUGACUAGGUGUGGGGGGACUGAACCCUUCCGUGCCGCAGUUAACACAAUAAGUCGUCCACCUGGGGAGUACGGCCGCAAGGUUGAAACUCAAAUGAAUUGACGGGG